AAUUAGAUUGAUAUAGGGCAUAUGCACGGCAAGAAAAAUACAUGCCAGGAAUAGAGCAUGCCAAUUUAACGUAAGCUUUAUGUGACACAGGAGCCUUUAUGAGGAAAUAAAGAUCCGACAAACUGGGCAAACCUGCGCGUUUUGUGUCGGGUGGAACAGACAGACCUUUGUGGAAAGAGACAACUUCACGUGGGGAAGACAAAGGGAGGAAGAGAAAGGUGGACUAGAAAGCCCUCCUUGCACCUGACGUCUUUCAAGGUGCCUUUAGCUUGAGGCGGUCCUGAUGUCAACCUGCCAUAUUUGGGGUCUGUAUUCUGCUACCUCCACUGGGACUGGGGUGUGUAUUUUGGUACACACAGAGGAGUUGUUGGACUUGGUGGCUCUCCCAAGACUCAGGAGCCCAGUCACUGCCAUCUCAAUAUGCAGCUUUGGGAUCCCCACUAUGGGGGAAGGAAGCCAUGGGACCUUGCUCCAAAGGUCAUGUCCUAGAAGCUUGGUCCCCAGUAUGACCAUGUUAGGAGAAUGAUGGGUCUUUUAAGAGGUGGGGCAUAGAGGAAGGUCAAUACUGGCUCAUUCCUGCUCUCUGGCUUCCUGUCUCACCAUGUGAUUUCUCUCUUCCCCAAUGAUGGCAUCUGCCAUGAUGUGAUACAGCCAAGGGGGACCUCACCAGAGCCGGUACAGUGCUACUUGAAACUCCAAAACCAUGAGUGAAAUAAAACUUAUUUUCUUUAUAAAGCA
This is a non-coding RNA of Ictidomys tridecemlineatus (thirteen-lined ground squirrel), 738 nucleotides long. The record is from RefSeq and is a predicted model, not a curated record. Lineage: Eukaryota; Metazoa; Chordata; Mammalia; Rodentia; Sciuridae.